RNAcentral lists this ribosomal RNA (1489 nucleotides) under Lactiplantibacillus plantarum. RNAcentral describes it as "bacterial SSU rRNA". It matches the Rfam family "Bacterial small subunit ribosomal RNA". Lineage: Bacteria; Bacillati; Bacillota; Bacilli; Lactobacillales; Lactobacillaceae. The record is from RNAcentral.
GACGAACGCUGGCGGCGUGCCUAAUACAUGCAAGUCGAACGAACUCUGGUAUUGAUUGGUGCUUGCAUCAUGAUUUACAUUUGAGUGAGUGGCGAACUGGUGAGUAACACGUGGGAAACCUGCCCAGAAGCGGGGGAUAACACCUGGAAACAGAUGCUAAUACCGCAUAACAACUUGGACCGCAUGGUCCGAGUUUGAAAGAUGGCUUCGGCUAUCACUUUUGGAUGGUCCCGCGGCGUAUUAGCUAGAUGGUGGGGUAACGGCUCACCAUGGCAAUGAUACGUAGCCGACCUGAGAGGGUAAUCGGCCACAUUGGGACUGAGACACGGCCCAAACUCCUACGGGAGGCAGCAGUAGGGAAUCUUCCACAAUGGACGAAAGUCUGAUGGAGCAACGCCGCGUGAGUGAAGAAGGGUUUCGGCUCGUAAAACUCUGUUGUUAAAGAAGAACAUAUCUGAGAGUAACUGUUCAGGUAUUGACGGUAUUUAACCAGAAAGCCACGGCUAACUACGUGCCAGCAGCCGCGGUAAUACGUAGGUGGCAAGCGUUGUCCGGAUUUAUUGGGCGUAAAGCGAGCGCAGGCGGUUUUUUAAGUCUGAUGUGAAAGCCUUCGGCUCAACCGAAGAAGUGCAUCGGAAACUGGGAAACUUGAGUGCAGAAGAGGACAGUGGAACUCCAUGUGUAGCGGUGAAAUGCGUAGAUAUAUGGAAGAACACCAGUGGCGAAGGCGGCUGUCUGGUCUGUAACUGACGCUGAGGCUCGAAAGUAUGGGUAGCAAACAGGAUUAGAUACCCUGGUAGUCCAUACCGUAAACGAUGAAUGCUAAGUGUUGGAGGGUUUCCGCCCUUCAGUGCUGCAGCUAACGCAUUAGGCAUUCCGCCUGGGGAGUACGGCCGCAAGGCUGAAACUCAAAGGAAUUGACGGGGGCCCGCACAAGCGGUGGAGCAUGUGGUUUAAUUCGAAGCUACGCGAAAAACCUUACCAGGUCUUGACAUACUAUGCAAAUCUAAGAGAUUAGACGUUCCCUUCGGGGACAUGGAUACAGGUGGUGCAUGGUUGUCGUCAGCUCGUGUCGUGAGAUGUUGGGUUAAGUCCCGCAACGAGCGCAACCCUUAUUAUCAGUUGCCAGCAUUAAGUUGGGCACUCUGGUGAGACUGCCGGUGACAAACCGGAGGAAGGUGGGGAUGACGUCAAAUCAUCAUGCCCCUUAUGACCUGGGCUACACACGUGCUACAAUGGAUGGUACAACGAGUUGCGAACUCGCGAGAGUAAGCUAAUCUCUUAAAGCCAUUCUCAGUUCGGAUUGUAGGCUGCAACUCGCCUACAUGAAGUCGGAAUCGCUAGUAAUCGCGGAUCAGCAUGCCGCGGUGAAUACGUUCCCGGGCCUUGUACACACCGCCCGUCACACCAUGAGAGUUUGUAACACCCAAAGUCGGUGGGGUAACCUUUUAGGAACCAGCCGCCUAAGGUGGGACAGAUGAUUAGGGUG